RNAcentral lists this microRNA precursor (60 nucleotides) under Equus caballus (horse). Its description in RNAcentral is "Eca-Mir-196-P3_pre stem-loop". RNAcentral also lists the same sequence under 1 other name. Lineage: Eukaryota; Metazoa; Chordata; Mammalia; Perissodactyla; Equidae. The record is from RNAcentral.
UAGGUAGUUUCAUGUUGUUGGGCCUGGAUUUCUGAACACAACGACAUUAAACCACCCGAC